CUCAAAGUACUACCUGUAAAAAAUAUAUUUCAAAAUAACUGCUAUUUAUAUGAAAACUCAUAAUUUACUGCGGCCCAUAUCACAUGGUAUCAACACUAGAUAUGCUAAAAACAAUGUUCUAAUAAAAGAAUUUAAAAAAAAAUACUAACAUAUUUCGCACGAUGGGUGCAGCCACUGUUGUCUGUGAGAAGUUGGGAAUAUAGUAUAUUAGGGGAAAUUAAUUUGUAUCUGGAAGCAACAAUAAACCAUUGUCAACAGAAAAUCCCUAGGAUUUUUAAGAUUACAAUAGGUAUCUAUAACUAUUAGACUAC
This is a non-coding RNA of Cinara cedri, 311 nucleotides long. The record is from the annotation of a GenBank genome assembly. NCBI's taxonomy places the organism in Eukaryota, Metazoa, Arthropoda, Insecta, Hemiptera, Aphididae.